This 344-nucleotide long non-coding RNA is filed under the name Citrus sinensis (sweet orange). Its description in RNAcentral is "long non-coding RNA (CSIN_LNC001614)". The record is from RNAcentral. Lineage: Eukaryota; Viridiplantae; Streptophyta; Magnoliopsida; Sapindales; Rutaceae.
AUUAUCAUACAUACAUUAUUGCUAGUGGUUCCGCCUUAAUAAUAUAUAUCUCCAAUCUCCAAUCUCCAAUCUCCAAUUUGUUACUACUCAAAUCUCCCAAGCUGCAUAACACUAUUACCAGUUGUAGUCAUCAUGUUGGGCAACAGACCUCGCCCGGUGAUCGGAAAAUUAUCGGCUUUAUUGGUUUCCGGCAACCGUGCCGGGUUUUCGGACGUGGGCACAAGCCCGAGAGGUCCACUGGACUUAAAAAUUCAGUCACCGAGAUGUGGUCUAAGAUGUUAUGAUGCAGGUGGGGUUGGGUUGGGCAUAGUGGCAGCACUAGAAAAGUCUAAUACCGCUUGUGG